Molecule: ribosomal RNA, 465 nt
Filed under: uncultured bacterium
Lineage: Bacteria
Description: partial 16S ribosomal RNA
Rfam family: Bacterial small subunit ribosomal RNA
Source: RNAcentral
ACGAACGCUGGCGGCGCGCCUAACACAUGCAAGUCGAACGAGCGAGAGAGAGCUUGCUUUCUCGAGCGAGUGGCGAACGGGUGAGUAACGCGUGAGGAACCUGCCUCAAAGAGGGGGACAACAGUUGGAAACGACUGCUAAUACCGCAUAAGCCCACGGCUCGGCAUCGAGCAGGGGGAAAAGGAGCAAUCCGCUUUGAGAUGGCCUCGCGUCCGAUUAGCUAGUUGGUGGGGUAACGGCCCACCAAGGCGACGAUCGGUAGCCGGACUGAGAGGUGGAACGGCCACAUUGGGACUGAGACACGGCCCAGACUCCUACGGGAGGCAGCAGUGGGGAAUAUUGCACAAUGGGGGAAACCCUGAUGCAGCGACGCCGCGUGGAGGAAGAAGGUCUUCGGAUUGUAAACUCCUGUUGUUGGGGAAGAUAAUGACGGUACCCAACAAGGAAGUGACGGCUAACUACGUG